RNAcentral lists this ribosomal RNA (434 nucleotides) under uncultured Lachnospiraceae bacterium. Its description in RNAcentral is "bacterial SSU rRNA". It matches the Rfam family "Bacterial small subunit ribosomal RNA", at positions 341 to 792 of the family's 1533-position model. Lineage: Bacteria; Bacillati; Bacillota; Clostridia; Lachnospirales; Lachnospiraceae. The record is from RNAcentral.
ACGGGAGGCAGCAGUGGGGGAUAUUGCACAAUGGGGGAAACCCUGAUGCAGCGACGCCGCGUGAGUGAUGAAGUAUUUCGGUAUGUAAAGCUCUAUCAGCAGGGAAGAAAAUGACGGUACCUGACUAAGAAGCCCCGGCUAACUACGUGCCAGCAGCCGCGGUAAUACGUAGGGGGCAAGCGUUAUCCGGAUUUACUGGGUGUAAAGGGAGCGUAGACGGCAAGGUAAGUCUGAUGUGAAAGCUAUGGGCUCAACCCAUAAACUGCAUUGGAAACUAUCUGGCUAGAGUGUCGGAGAGGUAAGUGGAAUUCCUAGUGUAGCGGUGAAAUGCGUAGAUAUUAGGAGGAACACCAGUGGCGAAGGCGGCUUACUGGACGAUAACUGACGUUGAGGCUCGAAAGCGUGGGGAGCAAACAGGAUUAGAUACCCUGGUA